UACGUAGGGUGCGAGCGUUGUCCGGAAUUACUGGGCGUAAAGAGCUCGUAGGUGGUUUGUCGCGUUGUCCGUGAAAACUCACAGCUCAACUGUGGGCGUGCGGGCGAUACGGGCAGACUGGAGUACUGCAGGGGAGACUGGAAUUCCUGGUGUAGCGGUGGAAUGCGCAGAUAUCAGGAGGAACACCGGUGGCGAAGGCGGGUCUCUGGGCAGUAACUGACGCUGAGGAGCGAAAGCGUGGGGAGCGAACAGGA
This 254-nucleotide ribosomal RNA is filed under the name uncultured bacterium. RNAcentral's name for it is "partial 16S ribosomal RNA". It matches the Rfam family "Bacterial small subunit ribosomal RNA", at positions 524 to 777 of the family's 1533-position model. The record is from RNAcentral.